RNAcentral lists this ribosomal RNA (423 nucleotides) under uncultured cyanobacterium. RNAcentral's name for it is "bacterial SSU rRNA". It matches the Rfam family "Bacterial small subunit ribosomal RNA", at positions 357 to 795 of the family's 1533-position model. Lineage: Bacteria; Bacillati; Cyanobacteriota. The record is from RNAcentral.
GGGAAUUUUCCGCAAUGGGCGAAAGCCUGACGGAGCAACGCCGCGUGAGGGAUGAAGGCCUCUGGGCUGUAAACCUCUUUUCUCAAGGAAGAAGACCUGACGGUACUUGAGGAAUAAGCCACGGCUAAUUCCGUGCCAGCAGCCGCGGUAAUACGGGAGUGGCAAGCGUUAUCCGGAAUUAUUGGGCGUAAAGCGUCCGCAGGCGGCCUUGUAAGUCUGUCGUUAAAGCGUGGAGCUUAACUCCAUUUAAGCGAUGGAAACUACAAGGCUUGAGUGUGGUAGGGGCAGAGGGAAUUCCCGGUGUAGCGGUGAAAUGCGUAGAUAUCGGGAAGAACACCAGUGGCGAAGGCGCUCUGCUGGGCCAUAACUGACGCUCAUGGACGAAAGCCAGGGGAGCGAAAGGGAUUAGAUACCCCUGUAGUC